CCUACGGGGGGCAGCAGUGAGGAAUAUUGGUCAAUGGGCGUGAGCCUGAACCAGCCAAGUAGCGUGAAGGAUGACUGCCCUACGGGUUGUAAACCUCUUUUAUAAAGGAAUAAAGUGAGGCACGUGUGCCUUUUUGUAUGUACUUUAUGAAUAAGGAUCGGCUAACUCCGUGCCAGCAGCCGCGGUAAUACGGAGGAUCCGAGCGUUAUCCGGAUUUAUUGGGUUUAAAGGGAGCGUAGAUGGGUUGUUAAGUCAGUUGUGAAAGUUUGCGGCUCAACCGUAAAAUUGCAAUUGAUACUGGCAGCCUUGAGUACGGUUGAGGUAGGCGGAAUGCGUGGUGUAGCGGUGAAAUGCUUAGAUAUCACGAAGAACUCCGAUUGCGAAGGCAGCUUACUAAGCUGCCACUGACAUUGAUGCUCGAAAGUGUGGGUAUCAAACAGGAUUAGAUACCCGUGUAGUC
Molecule: ribosomal RNA, 460 nt
Filed under: uncultured bacterium
Lineage: Bacteria
Description: partial 16S ribosomal RNA
Rfam family: Bacterial small subunit ribosomal RNA
Source: RNAcentral